GUGGGGAAUUUUGGACAAUGGGCGCAAGCCUGAUCCAGCAAUGCCGCGUGCAGGAAGAAGGCCUUCGGGUUGUAAACUGCUUUUGUACGGAACGAAACGGUCCGGGUUAAUACCCUGGGCUAAUGACGGUACCGUAAGAAUAAGCACCGGCUAACUACGUGCCAGCAGCCGCGGUAAUACGUAGGGUGCAAGCGUUAAUCGGAAUUACUGGGCGUAAAGCGUGCGCAGGCGGUUUUGUAAGACAGGCGUGAAAUCCCCGGGCUCAACCUGGUAACUGCAUUUGUGACUGUAUAGCUAGAGUACGGUAGAGGGGGAUGGAAUUCCGCGUGUAGCAGUGAAAUGCGUAGAUAUGCGGAGGAACACCGAUGGCGAAGGCAAUCCCCUGGACCUGUACUGACGCUCAUGCACGAAAGCGUGGGGAGCAAACAGGAUUAGAAACCCUUGUAGUCC
Molecule: ribosomal RNA, 450 nt
Filed under: uncultured bacterium
Lineage: Bacteria
Description: partial 16S ribosomal RNA
Rfam family: Bacterial small subunit ribosomal RNA
Source: RNAcentral